ACGAACGCUGGCGGCGUGCUUAACACAUGCAAGUCGAGCGGAAAGGCCACUUCGGUGGUACUCGAGCGGCGAACGGGUGAGUAACACGUGAGUAAUCUGCCCCUGGCUUCGGGAUAGCCACCGGAAACGGUGAUUAAUACCGGAUAUGACACGGACUCGCAUGGGUUUGUGUGGAAAGUUUUUCGGCCAGGGAUGUGCUCGCGGCCUAUCAGCUUGAUGGUGAGGUAAUGGCUCACCAUGGCUUCGACGGGUAGCCGGCCUGAGAGGGUGACCGGCCACACUGGGACUGAGACACGGCCCAGACUCCUACGGGAGGCAGCAGUGGGGAAUAUUGGACAAUGGGCGGAAGCCUGAUCCAGCAACGCCGCGUGAGGGAUGACGGCCUUCGGGUUGUAAACCUCUUUCAGUACCGACGAAGCGCAAGUGACGGUAGGUACAGAAGAAGCACCGGCCAACUACGU
RNAcentral lists this ribosomal RNA (461 nucleotides) under uncultured bacterium. RNAcentral's name for it is "bacterial SSU rRNA". It matches the Rfam family "Bacterial small subunit ribosomal RNA", at positions 29 to 506 of the family's 1533-position model. The record is from RNAcentral.